This 215-nucleotide long non-coding RNA is filed under the name Elaeis guineensis (African oil palm). RNAcentral's name for it is "long non-coding RNA (EGUI_LNC077560)". The record is from RNAcentral. Lineage: Eukaryota; Viridiplantae; Streptophyta; Magnoliopsida; Arecales; Arecaceae.
ACCCAUGACUCGACCUAAUCUCACCUAUCCUGGACCCAGACCUGGCCCAUAAAGAGUUAGUCCCUUGAGGCCCACAUAACCUAGACCUCAAGAAUCCGAAAGGCCCACAGCCUUUCAACCUAGGGCCCAACUAGCCCUAGAGCCUCCAUGAAGCCCUCAUGAAUGAUGGACCUUGGCCUUAGCCUUGGUCCCCUGGGCCUUGGGCACACCACUUG